GCUGAAGCAUUAAAGCAGCCCCAUCCAGAUCCUGGAGGGGCUGCGGUCGGGGCAAUGCAGGCUGUGUCAUCAUCACAAGAGGGUGAGACGUGCCAUGAGAUGCCACACCCACAGAAAAUGGUGCCCCAAAGGAAGUUGUUUCUUCUCACCAGAACAGCAUCCCAGACCUAUUGCAACAUUUACUAUUUUUGUUCAAGAGUCUUCACAAUCUUUGAGGAGGGUUGCUCUGGUUAGCUCAUUUGGUUAAAAGCCAAAAUAAGGGCAAUUUCACUCCCAGGUAUAUGUUCCCCAAAGAACUGAAAGCAAGGACUCAAACAGAUACUUGGACACUGACGUUCGUAGCAGCGUUAUCCACAAUGGCCGCAAAGUGGAAAGAAAUCAAAUAUCCAUCAACUGAUGAAUGAAGAACUAAAAUGUGGUAUAUCUAUACAAUGGAAUAUUACUCAGUCAUA
Molecule: long non-coding RNA, 452 nt
Organism: Aethalodelphis obliquidens (Pacific white-sided dolphin)
Lineage: Eukaryota; Metazoa; Chordata; Mammalia; Artiodactyla; Delphinidae
Exons: 3
Source: RefSeq, a predicted model, not a curated record